RNAcentral lists this ribosomal RNA (259 nucleotides) under uncultured bacterium. Its description in RNAcentral is "partial 16S ribosomal RNA". It matches the Rfam family "Bacterial small subunit ribosomal RNA", at positions 524 to 776 of the family's 1533-position model. The record is from RNAcentral.
UACGUAGGGGGGCGAGCGUUGUCCGGAUUUAUUGGGCGUAAAGAGCGUGUAGGCGGCUUGGUAGGUCUGCUGUGAAAACUCGGGGGCUCAACCCCCGAGACGUCGGUGGAAACCACCUUGCUAGAGUCCGGAAGAGGAGAGUGGAAUUCCUGGUGUAGCGGUGAAAUGCGUAGAGAUCCGGAAGAACACCGGUGGCGAAGGCGGCCUGCUGGGGCAGUGGCUGACGCUGAGGCGCGACAGCGUGGGGGAGCAAAACAGG